This 492-nucleotide ribosomal RNA is filed under the name uncultured bacterium. Its description in RNAcentral is "partial 16S ribosomal RNA". It matches the Rfam family "Bacterial small subunit ribosomal RNA", at positions 29 to 507 of the family's 1533-position model. The record is from RNAcentral.
AGUGAACGCUGGCGGUAGGCCUAACACAUGCAAGUCGAACGGCAGCACAGUAAGAGCUUGCUCUUACGGGUGGCGAGUGGCGGACGGGUGAGGAAUACAUCGGAAUCUACUUUUUCGUGGGGGAUAACGUAGGGAAACUUACGCUAAUACCGCAUACGACCUACGGGUGAAUGCAGGGGAUCUUCGGACCUUGCGCGAUUGAAUGAGCCGAUGUCGGAUUAGCUAGUUGGCGGGGUAAAGGCCCACCAAGGCGACGAUCCGUAGCUGGUCUGAGAGGAUGAUCAGCCACACUGGAACUGAGACACGGUCCAGACUCCUACGGGAGGCAGCAGUGGGGAAUAUUGGACAAUGGGCGCAAGCCUGAUCCAGCCAUACCGCGUGGGUGAAGAAGGCCUUCGGGUUGUAAAGCCCUUUUGUUGGGAAAGAAAAGCAGCAGGUUAAUACCCCGCUGUUCUGACGGUACCCAAAGAGUAAGCACCGGCUAACUUCGUG